This 639-nucleotide long non-coding RNA is filed under the name Marmota monax (woodchuck). The record is from RNAcentral. Lineage: Eukaryota; Metazoa; Chordata; Mammalia; Rodentia; Sciuridae.
CAGUCAUUAUAAAAAACUGUAUAGAGGUUCUUAAAGAAGGUAAAAAUACAACUACUCUAUGACCCAAUAAUACCUCUUCUGGGCAUAUACUCAAAAGAAAUGAAAUCACCAUCUAAUAAAGAUUUCUGCACUGUUAUAUUCAUUACAGCUUUAUUUCCAAUAACCAAAAUCUGGAAACAGUUUCUGUCCAUGGAUGAAUCGGAAAAGAAACAGUGGUAUAUGCAUUUGAACAUUAUUCAAACUUAAACAGGAGGAUCCUGAAAGAUAUGCUUAGGGAACUAAGGUGAACAGAGAAAUAAAAAUAUUGCAUGAGCUCACAAAUUGUUAGCUUUCUGUCACUAAAAAUAUCUGAGAUAAAGAGAGGAAAUGUUAAUUUUGGCUCACAUUUUAGGAGGUUUCAGUCCAUUGUUAGUUGGCCUGUUGCUUUUGUACCUGUGGCGGCAGCAUAUUGUGGUGGGAGCUUGUGAUGGAAGAAGCCCUUCACCUCAUGGUAGUUGGCAGGGAGAGGAGAGGCUGGGGUUCCAAUAUCCCCUUCAAGGGCAUGCCUCCAACAACCUAAUUUCCUUGUACCAGACUAUUGUGGUUUGGAUGUGAGGUGUGUCCCCCAACAGCUCAUGUGUGAAGCAGUGCAAGAAUAGA